AUGCACGCUGGCGGCGUGCCUAAUACCUGCCAGUCGAGCGAACAGACGAGGAGCUUGCUCCUCUGACGUUAGCGGCGGACGGGUGAGUAACACGUGGAUAACCUACCUAUAAGACUGGGAUAACUUCGGGAGACCGGAGCUAAUACCGGAUAAUAUAUUGAACCGCAUGGUUCAAUAGUGAAAGACGGUUUUGCUGUCACUUAUAGAUGGAUCCGCGCCGCAUUAGCUAGUUGGUAAGGUAACGGCUUACCAAGGCAACGAUGCGUAGCCGACCUGAGAGGGUGAUCGGCCACACUGGAACUGAGACACGGUCCAGACUCCUACGGGAGGCAGCAGUAGGGAAUCUUCCGCAAUGGGCGAAAGCUUGACGGAGCAACGCCGCGUGAGUGAUGAAGGUCUUCGGAUCGUAAAACUCUGUUAUUAGGGAAGAACAAAUGUGUAAGUAACUAUGCACGUCUUGACGGUACCUAAUCAGAAAGCCACGGCUAACUACGUG
This 496-nucleotide ribosomal RNA is filed under the name uncultured bacterium. RNAcentral's name for it is "partial 16S ribosomal RNA". It matches the Rfam family "Bacterial small subunit ribosomal RNA", at positions 29 to 507 of the family's 1533-position model. The record is from RNAcentral.